Molecule: ribosomal RNA, 254 nt
Filed under: uncultured bacterium
Lineage: Bacteria
Description: partial 16S ribosomal RNA
Rfam family: Bacterial small subunit ribosomal RNA
Source: RNAcentral
UACGGAGGGUGCGAGCGUUGUCCGGAAUCAUUGGGCGUAAAGGGCGCGUAGGUGGCCCGGUCAGUUCGUGGUGAAAGCGCGGGGCUCAACCCUGCGUCGGCCAUGAAUACUGCCGCGGCUGGAGCACUGUAGAGGCAGGCGGAAUUCCGGGUGUAGCGGUGGAAUGCGUAGAGAUCCGGAAGAACACCGGUGGCGAAGGCGGCAUCCUGGACCAAUUCUGACGCUGAGGAGCGAAAGCCAGGGGAGCAAACGGG